RNAcentral lists this ribosomal RNA (468 nucleotides) under uncultured bacterium. Its description in RNAcentral is "partial 16S ribosomal RNA". It matches the Rfam family "Bacterial small subunit ribosomal RNA", at positions 28 to 507 of the family's 1533-position model. The record is from RNAcentral.
GAUGAACGCUGGCGGCGUGCUUAACACAUGCAAGUCGAACGGAAAGGCCCAAGCUUGCUUGGGUACUCGAGUGGCGAACGGGUGAGUAACACGUGGGUGAUCUGCCCUGCACUUCGGGAUAAGCCUUGGAAACUGGGUCUAAUACCGGAUAGGACGAUGGUUUGGAUGCCAUUGUGGAAAGUUUUUUCGGUGUGGGAUGAGCUCGCGGCCUAUCAGCUUGUUGGUGUGGUAAUGGCCUACCAAGGCGUCGACGGGUAGCCGGCCUGAGAGGGUGUACGGCCACAUUGGGACGGAGAUACGGCCCAGACGCCUACGGGAGGCAGCAGUGGGGAAUAUUGCGCAAUGGGCGCAAGCCUGAUGCAGCGACGCCGCGUGGGGGAUGACGGCCUUCGGGUUGUAAACUCCUUUCGCUAGGGACGAAGCGUUUUUGUGACGGUACCCGGAGAAGAAGCACCGGCUAACUACGUG